UGCGGAGGAUGCGAGCGUUAUCCGGAUUUAUUGGGUUUAAAGGGUGCGUAGGCGGAUCGUUAAGUCAGUGGUCAAAUUGAGGGGCUCAACCCCUUCCCGCCAUUGAAACUGGCGAUCUUGAGUGGAAGAGAAGUACGCGGAAUGCGUGGUGUAGCGGUGAAAUGCAUAGAUAUCACGCAGAACCCCGAUUGCGAAGGCAGCAUGCCGGCUUCCUACUGACGCUGAAGCACGAAAGCGUGGGGAUCGAACAGG
RNAcentral lists this ribosomal RNA (252 nucleotides) under uncultured bacterium. RNAcentral's name for it is "partial 16S ribosomal RNA". It matches the Rfam family "Bacterial small subunit ribosomal RNA", at positions 524 to 776 of the family's 1533-position model. The record is from RNAcentral.